CCUCUGUUCUGCUGGCGGUUUCAGGGAAUAGUAAUCACCCAGACAUUGUGUGGGUUUGCUUUCCUUCUUCUCCUGGAGGAAUGGAGGGUGUUGUUGACAGCCAGCCUAGAGCCCUCCAGUCUGCCUUCUGCACCUCUCCCAUGCACUCACUUAGCUUCUCUCUGUAAAACUACCGAAUUUAAGCUUCAGAGGCUGGGGGUGAGCACAGGUUGUAUGAUUAGCUACAACCUAGGAGGGCAGCAGGUGCCUGUCUCCACUCUGUGACAGAGGUUGUGUUGAAGUGCACUGCAGCACCCUGGU
RNAcentral lists this long non-coding RNA (300 nucleotides) under Anser cygnoides (Swan goose). Its description in RNAcentral is "lncRNA (ENSACDG00005003963.1)". The record is from RNAcentral. Lineage: Eukaryota; Metazoa; Chordata; Aves; Anseriformes; Anatidae.